GUCAUGGGUUAAUUUCCUAAGCAAAAGCCAUUGCUCUGGCUGGCAGGGACCUAUAGCUACAUACCCUAACCUCGUUGCUUCUCUUCCUCCCAACCUUUUUUUUUCUCAUUUUCUGGUGGUGGAGCGUUUCCACUGCCAUUUCCGACUGGCAACUCGUCGAGUUCAACUUCAAACCCACACAGCAAAGCAUGCAUAUGGAUCCGUAACAAUCCAUUGGUGUGAACGCGUGCAUGGCCCGUUGAUAGAGAAGAGGAGAAGAGAAGAGAAUUUAAGAGGGAAAGUUUGUACGUACGCGCUUGCUUGGAGAGAUCGAGCUGGAUUAUCUAAUUAUUUGCUGGCUGCGUGGGAGGCCGGGGUAUAUAUGAUUUCGAUCGACCGGGCAGAAAAAUAAAAUCAAGCUGG
RNAcentral lists this unclassified non-coding RNA (402 nucleotides) under Zea mays. Its description in RNAcentral is "misc RNA Zm00001eb200980". The record is from RNAcentral. Lineage: Eukaryota; Viridiplantae; Streptophyta; Magnoliopsida; Poales; Poaceae.